UACGAAGGGGGCUAGCGUUGUUCGGAAUUACUGGGCGUAAAGCGCACGUAGGCGGAUAUUUAAGUCAGGGGUGAAAUCCCAGAGCUCAACUCUGGAACUGCCUUUGAUACUGGGUAUCUUGAGUAUGGAAGAGGUGAGUGGAAUUCCGAGUGUAGAGGUGAAAUUCGUAGAUAUUCGGAGGAAUACCGGUGGCGAAGGCGGCAUCCUGGACCGACAUUGACGCUGAACGGCGAAAGCUAGGGGAGCAAACGGG
Molecule: ribosomal RNA, 253 nt
Filed under: uncultured bacterium
Lineage: Bacteria
Description: partial 16S ribosomal RNA
Rfam family: Bacterial small subunit ribosomal RNA
Source: RNAcentral